UGAGGAAUAUUGGUCAAUGGGCGGGGAGCCUGAACCAGCCAAGUAGCGUGAAGGAUGACAGCCCUAUGGGUUUUAAACUUCUUUUAUAAGGGAAUAAAGUGCCCCACGUGUGGGGUUUUGUAUGUAUCUUAUGAAUAAGCAUCGGCUAAUUCCGUGCC
Molecule: ribosomal RNA, 158 nt
Filed under: uncultured bacterium
Lineage: Bacteria
Description: partial 16S ribosomal RNA
Rfam family: Bacterial small subunit ribosomal RNA
Source: RNAcentral